RNAcentral lists this ribosomal RNA (586 nucleotides) under Citrobacter freundii. Its description in RNAcentral is "partial 23S ribosomal RNA". It matches the Rfam family "Bacterial large subunit ribosomal RNA", at positions 239 to 867 of the family's 2925-position model. Lineage: Bacteria; Pseudomonadati; Pseudomonadota; Gammaproteobacteria; Enterobacterales; Enterobacteriaceae. The record is from RNAcentral.
CCCAGUAGCGGCGAGCGAACGGGGAGCAGCCCAGAGUCUGAAUCAGCUUGUGUGUUAGUGGAACGGUCUGGAAAGUCCGACGGUACAGGGUGAUAGUCCCGUACACCAAAAUGCACAGGUUGUGAACUCGAAGAGUAGGGCGGGACACGUGGUAUCCUGUCUGAAUAUGGGGGGACCAUCCUCCAAGGCUAAAUACUCCUGACUGACCGAUAGUGAACCAGUACCGUGAGGGAAAGGCGAAAAGAACCCCGGCGAGGGGAGUGAAAAAGAACCUGAAACCGUGUACGUACAAGCAGUGGGAGCCUCUUUAUGGGGUGACUGCGUACCUUUUGUAUAAUGGGUCAGCGACUUAUAUUCUGUAGCAAGGUUAACCGUAUAGGGGAGCCGAAGGGAAACCGAGUCUUAACUGGGCGUUAAGUUGCAGGGUAUAGACCCGAAACCCGGUGAUCUAGCCAUGGGCAGGUUGAAGGUUGGGUAACACUAACUGGAGGACCGAACCGACUAAUGUUGAAAAAUUAGCGGAUGACUUGUGGCUGGGGGUGAAAGGCCAAUCAAACCGGGAGAUAGCUGGUUCUCCCCGAAAGCU